CAACGUCUCAUCAUUAAAUCUGUUAAAUAUUCGACCGAAUAUCAGUUUCCUUCCCGAAGUGAUGUAUGUAUACUUGCUGAGAUAUUGAAGUGGCGUUAAUCCUGCAACAAUCAUAUCACCACGACACGUGAAUAUAUUCAUACAGUAUAGCGUUAGAUUCACUUCUUCCAACGUAUCGAAAAUAUAUUAAUGAACUCUACGUAAGACAUACCAAGAAGACUUUGACUGUCGAGUAAUUCAAAUCGUACUGCUUGACGGGAAAAUAGUCUGGGAGCGUUUUGCAUCAAUAGACUGGCGCUCGUUUGACGAGAUCCGCGCAGAGUUGACGAUAGGUGAAUGAGGUGACGGAGGUGGCGGCGCGGGUACUGCUGACAAAUGUUGCGAUCUCGAGACCGGCUUACAGACAAAUAUCUCGCUUUUUCGAGGCAUCGGCGGUAACUCGAGCGUAAGAGCAUGCCAG
This is a long non-coding RNA of Cataglyphis hispanica, 460 nucleotides long. RefSeq lists it as uncharacterized. The record is from RefSeq and is a predicted model, not a curated record. The transcript is spliced from 3 exons. NCBI's taxonomy places the organism in Eukaryota, Metazoa, Arthropoda, Insecta, Hymenoptera, Formicidae.